GACGAACGCUGGCGGCGUGCUUAACACAUGCAAGUCGAACGGUAAGGCCCUUCGGGGUACACGAGUGGCGAACGGGUGAGUAACACGUGGGUAAUCUGCCCUGCACUUCGGGAUAAGCCUGGGAAACUGGGUCUAAUACCGGAUAUUCAGUUCCUGCCGCAUGGUGGGGGUUGGAAAGUUUUUCGGUGCAGGGUGAGCCCGCGGCCUAUCAGCUUGUUGGUGGGGUAAUGGCCUACCAAGGCGACGACGGGUAGCCGGCCUGAGAGGGUGAUCGGCCACACUGGGACUGAGACACGGCCCAGACUCCUACGGGAGGCAGCAGUGGGGAAUAUUGCACAAUGGGCGAAAGCCUGAUGCAGCGACGCCGCGUGGGGGAUGACGGUCUUCGGAUUGUAAACCCCUUUCAGUAGGGACGAAGCGCAAGUGACGGUACCUGCAGAAGAAGCACCGGCCAACUACGUG
Molecule: ribosomal RNA, 462 nt
Filed under: uncultured bacterium
Lineage: Bacteria
Description: partial 16S ribosomal RNA
Rfam family: Bacterial small subunit ribosomal RNA
Source: RNAcentral